RNAcentral lists this unclassified non-coding RNA (345 nucleotides) under soil metagenome. Its description in RNAcentral is "partial contains 5.8S ribosomal RNA, internal transcribed spacer 2, and large subunit ribosomal RNA". The stretch from base 1 to 120 matches the Rfam family "5.8S ribosomal RNA", at positions 35 to 154 of the family's 154-position model. The record is from RNAcentral.
GAUGAAGAACGUAGCGAAAUGCGAUACGUAAUGUGAAUUGCAGAAUUCAGUGAAUCAUCGAGUCUUUGAACGCACAUUGCGCCCCCUGGUAUUCCGGGGGGCAUGCCUGUCCGAGCGUCAUUGCUGCCCUCAAGCACGGCUUGUGUGUUGGGCCUCCGUCCUCCUCCCGGGGGACGGGCCCGAAAGGCAGCGGCGGCACCGCGUCCGGUCCUCGAGCGUAUGGGGCUUCGUCACCCUCUCUUGUAGGCCCGGCCGGCGCUUGCCGACACAUCAAUCUUUUUUCCAGGUUGACCUCGGAUCAGGUAGGGAUACCCGCUGAACUUAAGCAUAUCAAUAAGCGGAGGA